UUUAUCGGAGAGUUUGAUCCUGGCUCAGGACGAACGCUGGCGGCGUGCCUAAUACAUGCAAGUCGAGCGGACAGAUGGGAGCUUGCUCCCUGAUGUUAGCGGCGGACGGGUGAGUAACACGUGGGUAACCUGCCUGUAAGACUGGGAUAACUCCGGGAAACCGGGGCUAAUACCGGAUGGUUGUCUGAACCGCAUGGUUCAGACAUAAAAGGUGGCUUCGGCUACCACUUACAGAUGGACCCGCGGCGCAUUAGCUAGUUGGUGAGGUAACGGCUCACCAAGGCGACGAUGCGUAGCCGACCUGAGAGGGUGAUCGGCCACACUGGGACUGAGACACGGCCCAGACUCCUACGGGAGGCAGCAGUAGGGAAUCUUCCGCAAUGGACGAAAGUCUGACGGAGCAACGCCGCGUGAGUGAUGAAGGUUUUCG
Molecule: ribosomal RNA, 430 nt
Filed under: Bacillus velezensis
Lineage: Bacteria; Bacillati; Bacillota; Bacilli; Caryophanales; Bacillaceae
Description: bacterial SSU rRNA
Rfam family: Bacterial small subunit ribosomal RNA
Source: RNAcentral